Phasianus colchicus (ring-necked pheasant) is the source of this 763-nucleotide long non-coding RNA. RefSeq lists it as uncharacterized. NCBI's taxonomy places the organism in Eukaryota, Metazoa, Chordata, Aves, Galliformes, Phasianidae. The record is from RefSeq and is a predicted model, not a curated record.
CAGAAGUAAGCUUGUGGGCUCCGUGUUUGCGCCAUUCCUUCUGUCCUGGUCAACCCUUUCCUUCAGUCCUUGUCCUGAUGGUUUCAAUGCCGCAUUACAGGUGUGGCUGAGGGGUCUUUUUGUAUUCUUCUGUUGUAAAAGAGUUACUCAUCGCUUAAUUGAAGGCACGCUUGAAGCUGAUUAAAUUAAACAACGCUUAAAAAAAGCUGUAGGUGAACAGUGUUCACGCUAAGCCAAGGAGACUCCGUUCAGAGUACUGCAUCCAGGCCUGGGGCCCUGAGCACAGAAUGGAUGAGGAGCUGUUGGAUCCAGAGGAGGGCCACCAAGUGAGUUGCUGGGGUUGCCCAAGGAGAUGGAAGGGGGCAGAACCAGGACAGCCAAGUCAAAUCAACCAUACCAAACAUCGCCAUGCUGAGCAGUGACACUGGGGGAGCUGGCUAGGUGGGCUGCUGCCUGGGGACUGGAUGGACAUCAGCCAGCAAGAAACUGUAUUACUUGGUUUUUACUCUUUUUUCUUUUUUUUUUCCUUUGUUUCUUUCUUAUUUUACUAUCCUUAUGUUAACUCACGAGUUCUCAUGCUCUGUCAGUUCUCUUUCUCAUCCUGCUGGUGGUGCAGUGAAUGAACAGCUCUGUGGGGCUGUGUUGCCUGUCAGGUUAGACCAUAACUAGUAGAAAACAAAUGAUUAUGGAAAAAAGGGGGAAAAAAAAUAGUAAAAUUGAUGAACUAGGCAGCUGGGUCACACUGUCAAUAAAUUGGCUUCCU